CUAAAACAUUGGACUCAUUCCUAUUUCUUUCGUCUUUCUAAGGCUGUGGCCCCUGCCUGGAAUGCCCUCCCUUGCCAGUGCUUAGUCAUGCCCCCCAGAGUUCCGAGUUAACUUCUUGUGUGUACAGCUUUUGCCUUCCCAGCUCAUACUCAGUGCUGGGCUGGUCCUGCAAUCUGCGUUCUUGGUUUUGAAGAGCUUCUUUAUUAGACUUACACUGUUUUUAAAGCUUCGUUAUUUGACCCUGUGGCAGAAAACUAUGGAAUCCAAGCUGUGGCGUGUCAGUACAGCUGAGCCCUCCUGAUCCCUCUUGGCUGCACAGACCCGGCUCCACUUCUGUCCUUCUUUUACUGGAGAACUGAUGUCAGCCCGGCUGGAUUACAGCCCGGCGACCGUUCUGUUGCUAAUGAAUUGGCAGGGAGAACAAAACACUGCAGCGCUCCUGGAACGAUUUUGUCAUCCAUUUUUGGAGCACAAAAAACUUCGGGAUUUGGAAAAGAACAAAUGUCAUCUGAGUUGGUUUAUUUGCCUCAGGAUGUCAGGAUCCCCAGUUCACCACACCCUGAAUGUUUAUCUGAUUACAAGAACUCAUGCAAAUGACAAAAGGUUAAAGGGAAAAACUCCACCCUUGCAGCAUUUCCCUACAUGUUUCCCGCCCUCCAGGAUUGGCCGGCCGGCCUGGCUCAGGAAAAUUCUUAUAUUUACAGUCUUGUGAAUAGAGGGGCUAGGCUUGGCAGCUUCAAAAGGCUGAGGGAAUCUUGCAAAGUUGAGCUUGAAAGAGCCCUCAAGGAGCAUUAAGGCCCACAUUCUCCACUGAAGAUGAGAAACUAAAGCCAGAGAGAUGGCCUGGUGUUAUGGUUGAAUUGUGUCUCCCCAAAAUUCAUUUAUUGACAUCCUAAUGCCCAAAAUCUCAGAAUGUAACCUUAUUUGAAGACAGGGUCUUUACAAGGUAUAAGUUCAAGUUAGGUUAUCGGGGUGCGUCCUAAUUCAGUAUGACUGGCGUCCUUAGAAGAAGGAGAAAUAUGGACAGAGAGACACAUAUACAGGAAGAAUGCCAUGUGAACACGAAGACGGCCAUCUAAAGCCAAGGAGAGAGGCUGGGAACAGAGCCUCCCCUCACAGCUCUCAGAAGGAAACAGCCCUGCUAACAGUUUGAUUUCGGACUUCUCGUUUCCAGAACGGUGAGACAAUACAUUUCUGUUGUUUAAGCUCAGUUUGUGCUACUUUGUUGCAGCAGCCCUAGCAAACUAUUCCACCUGGAAUCUCGGUUCUAGAAUGGCCCAGCCAGUUGGUCUCCUGACUCCCGUGACUAAUACUCCUUGAAUCGCAUUGCCCCCUAGACUUGAGAUAGACUGUGAAAUUACUAUUUACGGAAAACGCGAGUACUUUUCAAGAGGGACAAUUGGUCUACGAAUUUGAAGAGCGGCGUCUCUGAUCUUCCAUGCUGGGAUCUGGGCGUGUAAACAGAGGCAGGAAGAUGCUGCCCGUCUACCCCCAUCUUAUUCAGUUUUAAAAGCUGCCACCGUUUAACUCACUUCCUCAGAGCCCCCAGGAAAUAGGCAUUCUCUUUUUAUACGAUUGCCUCAUUUUUAGUACUUAUUUCAAUUUCUCUAAGAAAUUCCCUGGGCAUUCUCUUUUUGUGAGGACAUUCUCUGUUUAGUAGCUAUCAUCUUCUAUUACGUCCAAAGUUGUGUUCCUUAUUUAUCAUUAAUGGUGCCUUUGGUUUCUAUCAAUUUAAUAUUAUGAAUGGGCUUGAAUUUAAUUUUUUUCUCUGUUUUUUGGCUGAGGAAGAUUAACCUUGAGCUAACAUCUGUGCCAAUCUUCCUUUAUUUUGUAUGUGGGACGCCACUACAGUGUGGCUGAUGAGUGGUGUAGGUCCGUACCCAGGACCGGAACCCGUAAAGCUGGGCCACAGAUGUGGAGCGCACUGAACUUAACCUCUAGACCAAGGAGUCAGCCCCCAUUGAAUUUCAUUUUUAUGCAGAUAAACCAUGGCACCGUAUUAGUGGAGAAACAUAUUUGAGGAAUGGAGUGAUAUGGAUAAUUUGCAAUAACUUUUCACACCGGAGUGAAAUUCUGACCUCAAGUUAAAACAAUAUCAACAACAACAAAAAAUAGCCUUCACUAUUAAGGCAGGUGCUUUUCCAAAGUGAGGUCCCCUAAAGGGGGCAUUAGGAGAUCAGGGGACUGACUGAGAACAUGAGAAGGCUCUGUUCUCCUUCAUGGCUCAGUGCUGAGGGAGGGGCAGAUAUAGAAAAGCAUUUGGACUAUCUAGGGAAAGCUUAGGGACAUCCCACAGAAAUUCCGGUGGACAGGUGAAGAGCCUGAGGACAGGCACUGAGCAGGAGUGGUGAUUAGCCAGCUGGCCCCAGAAGAACAUUCUCUGAGAAAUCUGUGCCUCUGCUGCCACCUGGAACCAUGUCAAUCAGACCGGCCUAUGCUGCCAGGGACUGACCACUACACUGGCUUUAUGAUGUGGCUUACAUAAACCCCUGUGUCACAGAAAGGGUGUAUCCAUGUGGGUUUAUGAUCAGUGGCUCCUAGAGUUUAGGAUUUCAUGACCCUUCCCCCAAUAAAAGAGGGGCACUGACAAAUGGUUGGUAGCUUUUAAUUCUGUCAAAUAAUAAUAGUAUAUAAAAAAUAGUACCCACAUUAUUUCAUAAAAAUAUGAAUAUUUUAACAAUUUUUUAAAUUAAAAAGACAAAUCCUAAGAACAAUGACAGUCUUUCCAUCAAAUGACAUUUGGUGAUCCUGAAAUGACAUUUUUUUUUGAAAAAAGGAUAUAUUUGUAAGUUUUUUCAAAUGGAAAAAUCACAACAUAAUGUUUUAUUUAUCACUGCCGCCUCUGGUACAGUUCCUGCUACUUGAGCCUGGACCCUGUCCCUGUGGUCCUGGGCUCUGUGGGGAGUUCUCUUAGCAACCCCAGCACCCUCACUGCUUCAGGGGACGGUGUCAGGGACGAUAGGGAGUCCCUGCCCUAAGAUGCAUCCCCUCCUUUUUGUAGCUCCCUUGUUUCUACCAAAACAGAUGCCCUUCCCCAAAGAGUCUUUGUAUCUCUUUACAGAGUGAAGAAUUAAAACUCGUUAUUACUUCCUGAUAGCUCCUUAAAAUGCUUUGUUAGCCGGUAUAAAUUAUCAAAAGGAUAUGUCAUCCCCCGCUACAAAGGUGAUGCCCCUCCUGUCUUCUGUUGGGUUCUCCCAGAAGCAGGUUCUGAGACAAGCCCAUUCUGAAUGCAAAUAGGUUAUUCAGAAGGGGAUCUCACUAGAGGAAUGGGGAUGUGAGACAGGGAAGGAAAGGCAGCCCACAGAGAGGAAGGAUUAAUGAGCCCAUUAUCACUGGGGCAGCUGGGAGACCCCUGGGAAACUGCAGAGUACCCCUUAGAGUGUUGUACCAUAAUUCCCAUCUGUUACUGGUUGAAUUCUGCUCCUGAGGGCAUGGAUUUCCCAGCACUUGCCACCUGCCCUGUGCUCAAGCCACGUGAGCUCCCACAGCCAGAGCCAGUCUUCAGGCAGAGUCACAGACGCCAUCUGCUUUUAUAACAGGGAGUGCUAGCGGAUGUAGGUGGGGCACCCAAGGCAUCACUAUACCCACUUUUGCAACCUUUGAACUCUUGAGACGAAUACACAAGUUGUAUCACUGGUCAUAUCUCUGACACUGACUGAAUACAGGGUCAUAUCACUGACUCUGACUUUCGAUAUAGAAAGUAGGAAGUUCUAUGACUCACUUUUGCCCUUAAAGGAAAAAGAAAAAGACCUUCUUCCGCAAAGAGCUGCAGCCCACUUUUCCAUGAGUCGCCAGACCAUCCCCAAUAAUCCUCGUCUCACACCCAUAGGGGAGACCACUGAUAGACAUCACGGUGAUAAAAUGCAUACGUUCAGGACAAAAAUCUCUCACCACUACCACAGGACUUUAACUAACAAUGAUCUAGACCAGAGAUGGCAAACUGAUUCCUCCCGUGUGCCGACUCUGAUCAGUCAAUUGUACUGUGUUGAGAAGAAUUCUGAAGCGUGGGGAGAAAGAGAGGGUUGGGUAUGGAUUAGAGCAGUUAGGUACCAAUCCAUAAGAGGGGCCAAAAAAAAAAAAAGAAGAAGAAAUCACUGGAAAACUUCAAAACUCCAAACAUAAUGAGGUGGAGAAAUCUGUAUUUUCAAGAUCCGUUCAGGAACAUACUACAUGUGUAUAUAUAUACGAUUGGAAGGAAUAUUUUUAUAAGGUCCUCGGGAGUAGCGGAUGAGGAACACAAUGAAACUGCAGCAUGCUCUAGUCACAUCUUCGGUCUGUCUGUUGUGGGUAGGGCGGACAGUCUAGGUUCUACUGUCAACAUAGAAGGUAAAAACCACUGUAGGCAAAAUUACAUUUAAAAGUCUCUUAAAAUGUCCUAAUGUCUCUAGUAUCUGGGCUCUCAGAAGCUGAAAAGCCGGGAUAGUUAAAUCCCCAAGUGCACAUAUGUUGCAACUCUACUGUAAUAAUAGGUGGUCACCAACCAGCCUUCUCAGGUGGCCACAGGGGCAGGUCUGGUCGGCUGUAGGCCCUUUAUUUUUCCGAGUGGAUUGUGUGAAAUGGUGGCUGCCUGUAGCUGCCCUCCUUACUCUCCCCACGCCUACUGCUCUGCUCUCCUUCUCAUGUUAAAUAUUCACAAAGUGAAAGUUAGGUUUCUACCUCACACAAUACAUGAAAGCCAAUUUCAGACAGAUUAAUGAGCUAAAUGUAAAAGACCAAAAUCAUUUUGAAAACUUAGAUCAAAUGAAAAGUUUGAUAAUAUCUAGAGUUGGCAAGGAUGUGCAGUCACAGGUUUAAUUUUAUCAGAGGGCUAUUGCUACUAAAACUGUCACUUCAUUUCUGGUUAUCUAUCCUGUAAGCAUACUCAUAUAGUGAACUAAGAUAGCCGUACAAGGUUAUUCAUUGCAGCAUUGUUUACAAUAGUGAAAAACUGGAAAUAACCAAAAUACUCCUCAAAGAAAAAGGGCUGCAUAAAUUAAGAUACAUCCUUAUAGAGUGAUACACAGCUUUUGAAAAGAAUAAGGUAAGGGCUGGCCUGGUGGUGUAGCGGUUAAGUUUGUGGUGCUCUGCUUCUGUGGCUAGGGGUUCCCUGGGUUGGAUCCUGGGUGUGGACCUACCCACCACUCAUCAAGCCAUGCUGUGGCAGCAUCCCACAGAGAAGAACUAGAAGACUUACAAGUAGGAUAUACAGUAUGUACUGGGGCUUCAGGGAGGGAAAAAAAAAAGGAAGAUUGGCAACAGAUGUUAGCUCAGGGCCAAUCUUCCUCACCAAAAAAAAAAAGGCAUAUCUUUAAAAAACAAACAAAAGAAUAAGGUAAAUUUAUACAUAUUGACAUGGAAAUAGAUACGUCACAACUUAUUUGAAUUCAAUUUUUUCAUUUGUAAGAUGGGGAGGUUGAACUAAAGAUCCUCGAAGAUUUCUUUUAACUUCGUUCUACGAAAAGAGAAGUCUGUCACAUAGCUCAGGGAUUUUGUGCUCUUAAAAAAUACAAUUUUCCUUUUUCAUUGUUUCUCUUGGGAAAAUCUAAAAUUCACAAAGCCGGCGACUCCCUCUCCACUUUUUCUCCUUUCUCAAGAUUAAAUCUGCUUUCUUUCUCAAUUUAG
RNAcentral lists this long non-coding RNA (5601 nucleotides) under Equus asinus (donkey). Its description in RNAcentral is "lncRNA (ENSEASG00005034571.1)". Lineage: Eukaryota; Metazoa; Chordata; Mammalia; Perissodactyla; Equidae. The record is from RNAcentral.